CCCCCCUUAAAAGAUUUAGAUGCACUAUUGUAAAGUGGUUGUUCCACUGGAUAUCAUAAGGUGAAUGCACCAAUUUGUAAGUCGCUCUGGAUAAGAGCGUCUGCUAAAUGACUUAAAUGUAAUGUAAAUGUUUGUUGGUAACGGUCGUGAGCAUCAGAUAAAUGCUCGAGCUCUAACAUUAUUGAAAACAGACAACUCUUUUUUUUGAAAAUAUUGUAUCCAGUAUAAGAAAACAUGAAUAUUAUUAUUUUUUUUUUAUAUGAAUUAAUAUAACGAUGGUGCAGUAAAACCGUCCUGUUUUGUUGAUACGGGAUUUCCAUGGUUACUAAAAUUGCGGCGCGUCCUCUGAAGUUGAGUGGCACAUCAAAUGCUUGCUAGUUAGCAAACUAACGUUAGCUCAUUACUUCGAAGUUUGACAAAGAAAAUAACCGGUUGAAAAUACUGAAACGAGUUGCCUAGCUGGUAUCUCUGGCAAUUAUGUAAUAUUUUGAGGCAUUAUCGGACUCGGAGUCUGAACCUGAUGACUCACAGUUCAGUCGAUGAGCCCCAAUUUAGUUCUGAAAGGGACGAUGAGUAAUUGUUACAAUCAACCGAAGUCAUCCAGAAUGGUGGAAAGGGUAAAGGCAUUGAAUUUGGCCGUCAUGUCAACAAACGACAGGCACGGAAAUGUGUUUCUCUCAACUGAGUUUUGCAAACCAAAGAAGAUGGGAGUUGACGUGUCUGUUUUCAUCAGAGAUAAACUAGGCCAAACUGCGAGAUAAACUAGGCCAAACUGCGAGAUUGUAUAAACAUUGGUAUCAGUCAUUCUUGGUAAGUGUCAAUAUUCGCCUCAAAUAUUAAUGAACGAACCUAUUAGCUAAUUAAGCAAUAUGGCACGGGGAGGUGUGGUAACUGGCCAAUAUAAGACUGCUAAGGGCUGUUCUCAUCACGACGCAACGUGGAGUGCCUGGACACAGCCCUUAACCGUGGUAUAUUGGCCAUAUACCACAAACCCCUGGUUACCAACUACCAAUUUGAGCAGUAAAAAUAAAUGUUUUGUCAUAUGCGUUGUAUACGGUCUGAAAUACCACGUCUGUCAGCUGAUCAGCAUUCAGGGCUCGGAACUACCCAGUUCAUACCAACUCCCCCAAAAGAAACUCAGUCCAGCUUUAAACUUACUCUUGAAAGUUGUAAUAGUAGAAUGCACAAGGUGCAAUUUCUAAAUUGGGUAGUGCAUCAUCAGUUCAUCUUGUAAUGUUAGUCAUACCUUAGAGAGCUAUUUAUAGAAAUGUCCAGAUCAACUACCCCUCAGCUAACGUCUUUUUAGCCCAUAGGUAUUGCUGUAAACAUUUUGUUGGUUUUAUCUGUCAGGAUCUGUAUUAUUUCUAUUUCAAGUUCUUCAUCAAAGCACCAUCCUAUUUGUAUUGGCUCCACCUGAUCAUGGAGUACCCUCUUGUGAUCAAUGCUCUGAAGAGGCUCAAUCUGUUCUCAGAGGAAGUGGAGGAGUUGGAACUAUCUGGUAUUACUUUGCUAGCAAGAAUUUAUCAUUUUGUAAAUAUGCAAGUGCAGAUAUUUAUUUAUUUCACCAAACAAAGACAAAGGAGAAACAAUGGCUAUCAAACUUUGCUUUGGCUGGGGUCGUGGAAGCUGCAGGCAUGGUGAUUUGAGCUAUCCAAUUGGCCAGUGCUGUAGGCACACUCAAGAGUUUCUUUUCAGACAAAUGAAAUGGUCCAAAAGGGAAACACUUUGCUUACCCGGUGCGCAGGGCUUCUGAAUCAAGUGAACAUACCGCCAACAGCGCAAAAAAAAUGUAUGUUUGGUGAUCAACUAUGAAUGCCUAGAAGAUCGACCAGUCGAUGACCACUGGUUUGUUGUAAGCCAUGACAAGUAGUGGCAUGAUGGCACAAACAGACAGGUACCCAGGCUAGUUUAUCCCUAUGGUACUCCAUAAAACCAUGGUCUUUGGUAUCUUUGGGGUCCUUUCCAGAGGCAGUUGUCUUGGAGGUGUCAUCAACGUCCUGGGUCUCUUCAACCAUGGAGAGAGCACUUGGGUCAUGUGGACUCCACCGCUGAGGGAGAGCUUCUCCUAUCCCUUCUUUGUCCUGCAGAUGCUGCUGUGAACACACAUUCUCGGGCAUUCCAACCCUGGAGGAAGAUCCCUAGUAAUUAUUGGUGCUUGCAAUGUGUUGUUCCUUCUUCCUUGGCCAUUUGCCCAGUUUGUCUUGCUAACUCAGGUUGCAUGUCUGUUUGCCUGUUAUUUGAUGGGCUUUCUCCACUGCCAAGAUGACGUCACUACUUGUUGUGCACCUGGCUUCACUUGCCAUCUGCUUUAUUAUGUUGUUUGAGAAUUUGGCACUUUGACAUCUUUUUACACUUUUUCCUUGGUUGCUGGUUGGUUCUGCGAUCUGGGACAUGGAGGAUCAGGAGAAUGGGAAAGUUGUCGCUAUGUACCCUCCUGUCCAUCAACUCCCCACCUCACUUCACCACAAUGUUCGAGAACAAAGUCUACAAAGUGCUGAAAAUCCCCAAAGCUGCCAAAUAUUACCUUUUUAAUAUAG
This 2537-nucleotide long non-coding RNA is filed under the name Salmo salar (Atlantic salmon). Its description in RNAcentral is "lncRNA (ENSSSAG00000083203.1)". The stretch from base 64 to 117 matches the Rfam family "UnaL2 LINE 3' element". The record is from RNAcentral. Lineage: Eukaryota; Metazoa; Chordata; Actinopteri; Salmoniformes; Salmonidae.